This is a non-coding RNA of Trichosporon asahii var. asahii CBS 2479, 72 nucleotides long. NCBI's taxonomy places the organism in Eukaryota, Fungi, Basidiomycota, Tremellomycetes, Trichosporonales, Trichosporonaceae. The record is from the annotation of a RefSeq genome assembly.
UAGAUUUAAAACGGCCUCUAAGAUAAUUGUAUUAACUUUAUAGUUAUUAUCGAUGAGUUUAUAAUAGAACGG